GAUGAACGCUGGCGGCGUGCUUAACACAUGCAAGUCGAACGAUGAAGCCCAGCUUGCUGGGUGGAUUAGUGGCGAACGGGUGAGUAACACGUGAGUAACCUGCCCUUGACUCUGGGAUAAGCCUGGGAAACUGGGUCUAAUACUGGAUAUGACUUCUCAUCGCAUGGUGGGGGGUGGAAAGAUUUAUUGGUCUUGGAUGGACUCGCGGCCUAUCAGCUUGUUGGUGAGGUAAUGGCUCACCAAGGCGACGACGGGUAGCCGGCCUGAGAGGGUGACCGGCCACACUGGGACUGAGACACGGCCCAGACUCCUACGGGAGGCAGCAGUGGGGAAUAUUGCACAAUGGGCGCAAGCCUGAUGCAGCGACGCCGCGUGAGGGAUGACGGCCUUCGGGUUGUAAACCUCUUUCAGUAGGGAAGAAGCGAGAGGGACGGUACCUGCAGAAGAAGCGCCGGCUAACUACGU
This 465-nucleotide ribosomal RNA is filed under the name uncultured bacterium. Its description in RNAcentral is "partial 16S ribosomal RNA". It matches the Rfam family "Bacterial small subunit ribosomal RNA", at positions 28 to 506 of the family's 1533-position model. The record is from RNAcentral.